GUGCGGAGCCGUCCCUGCUGGUCCCGGCUCCUCCCCGCCGGGCUCUGGAGCUGGCGACGGGGGCCUUUGAGGGCUGCAGCAGUGGCUGGUGCUUACAGCGAAUUAGCUGCCUCUCUGCCAACGAGCCCCUUUGAGGAGUCACUUCACUUCCCCAAAACGUACUAGGCCCUACGGGGGCAGGAGGGGUUUGUUCCCAAAAGACGCUCCUUGGCAGACGCUGGGGUUGGCAUGAUUGCGUUUGAUCUCGAAUCAGCCCAAUUUACCCUCCUAGGAGGACGUGGUUUGUGCCUACGUGGAGCUCUCAGAGAUAUAACACCGCCCCAGGAAAUGAAAGGUGAAGGCGCGGAUGUGAAGGAUCAAAGAGGGAAUGAAAGUGCCUAUAUUCAACCAUACUCCAGACUGUUUGCUGUUGAUAUCUUGAAUCACUGAGGCAGAAGAAAUAAUUGAUUCUAGUCAUUCCUCUUGACUCAAGAAGCUUUCAACUUGCACAGUAAAAGAGAGAACCCCCAACCAGUUCUUCAUUUUUGUGUUGUGUGAUGAUGAAAACCGUAUAUAAUAUUAUCUGAUUUUAUAUAUUUUAAUGGAAAACUAUAGAAUUUAAGUGGUUUUGGACUCAAAAAGGAUGGGUAGAAAGGAUGCCUCUGCCACAAGAACUCCUGUUGAGCAAUACAGGAAACAAAUAGGUGCUCCCGACACCCGAACAAGAUGUGCCCGCUCGAGACCGCUGCCUGGGAGGGCCGCGUGAAUCAAUUAUUCUGUGGGGAAAGAGUAAAAUCUGCGGGGGACAUUAAAUUCUGCGCUUAUGCAGUGGUGCAGAAUUCCCACAGGAGUAAACACUGAACUGUUGGAAAUUACUGGUUAAGUACCUGAGAGCAGAGUUUGUUGAAGUGCUAAACCAGCUUUUGAUAGCAGUAACCUGUUUAGCAGGUGCAAUGUAUGUGUUUUCUUCAUUUCAGCUAGUGCAGUUCAAUGACCAGUUAAUUCAAAAUUAAGAAACCACUUGGGAGUUGAAAAAGCAGGGAAGCUUGUUUUACUUUUCCAAUCUAUGAAUAAAAACUAGGUGUGAAAGAAUGAGUUCUUGUAGUUCUAAAAUCUGGAAGGACAAGGUGACCAUAAACAAUUAGUUCAACUACAGAUAAUACUUUCUAUGUUUAUUAGACAGGUUUGCAUUAAAAAUUGAUUUAUUAAACUUUUUUUCUUAUGGAUCCAGCACAGUUAAGGCUUAGGAAAAUAAUGAAAAAGCAAAAACUCAAAACACAAUUAAAGUAGAUUUAAAUCAAGGUUUCCGGCUUCUUGAUUUAAAUCAUGAUUAAAAUCUGCUAUUUAAAUUGCAUUGAUUUAAAUCAGUCCACCCUGAGCAUUAUGAAGUGAGGUUUGUGCAUUCAUUUCCCAGCGGAGAGGUGUUGAAAAACACCAUUACUUGUUGGCAGUUGAAUCAGAGAAGCCAGAUUAUAAACUGGCAUGUGCAGCCAAACUGUCUCACCAGGGGGCAUGGGACUUUCAAUCAGGGUUUUGGCAUGUUGGUGAGACAAUGAGGCAGAUUCACUGAAGCUGAAGAAGCGAUGUGUAAGUUAAUCCCCUCAUAGUCAGAUUCCUUCAGAAUUUUGCACACAUACACUACCUAUGUCUAAGGGAGUUGGUGUGAUUUAUACAUGGAGGAGCUGGAAGAUUAUGUAAAUUAAAGUAUUGUGGGGGCUAAUUUGAUUUACACAUUCUUCUAGCUUCUCAGCAGGUAAAUUAUGCUUAUAUAGACUCCCUUGAGCAUUGGUAGACCACAUGUUAGUAGCUCUACAGGUGUCUGUUAGUGUGGAGGAAUUCUAAUUUAGGCAAUACCUCUGAAUUUGUAAAUAUGAGUCAAAGAGAAUCUAAGUAACCCUAAAAGAAGUUCAAAUUUGGCAUAACAGACAUAUUGAAGGAAGAAUGUGUAAGCAACACCAAGGUAGAUUCCCACUUUUUCAUACUCACUGAGGGUAUGUCUGCAUCGGGAUAAAAAACCCGCAACUGUCCUAGGUCACAUGACUCGGGCUCAUGGGGCUCUGUGUAGACUUUUGGGCUUGUGCUGGAGCGCAUUUUUAUCCCCAUAGCCUGAGCCCCACAAGCACAAGUCAGCUGAUCUGGGCCAGCUGUGGCUGCAUCUCUGGUCUUUUAUCCCUGCGUAGAUAUACCCUGAGACUCACCUGUGCUUUGGGCAUGAGUACUUGUAGAUAAGGUCAGCUCUUUUUGUGGGGUGAAAGUAAAAACAGCAAGUAUGAUCAUUUAAAUCAGCACUUUUCAGAAGUAUUUUAUGCUAUCCCCGAGCAAUAGUAUUUUGUUCCAUAUAUCUAACACACACUACCAGACCAGAAUGGGGUUCUUUUAGCCCACAGCCUUUUUCAUCAUGUGCAGGCAUGGUGCCAAAGCUGUGUGGAGUACCUCCUCAUUGAGAAGAAGAGUGUAACAGAUGAGCAAGAUAAUAUCAGAAGAAAUCCUUUUCUAAAAAGAAUGAACUACUAUAAUUUUUGCCCUCCCUGGAGUUGAUAGAAACACUUAAUGCUGGAAUGAAUGCCACAGGGGGGAAAAGCUAGCAAGGUUGAAUAAAUUUCAAAUUUAAUAGAACUGGAGGUACAACCCUUAACAUACUUUAUCAGCAAACCAAGCUAUUAUUAAAAACAGUAACAUAUGGGAAUGGUGAGUAGAGUUACUAGAAAAUCAGACUUUUGUCUGCAAUGUAUGAGUUCAAGUUAUCUUGGAAGGCAGGAUGGGAAACUACAGACCCCAUAGCGUAUACUUUAUGGAAAGGUACUGCCGAAAUGGCUUAAUGGGAAUAGCAAAUAUAACCUGCUGAGUGGAUAGAGAAAAGCUAUUGAAUUCCUAUGAGGAAUCAGGAUGAAAGGAACAACUUGGAAGGUACUAUUUUAGUACUCUACAUGGAGAGAGACUGAUCUUGGCUGUAGCAAAAAAUAAUAAAGGAGAAAAGACAUUUAUCUUCCCUGGCCUUAACUCUGCCACUGGGGCGGGGGAAGAAUGGAGAGAAAUUAAGGAGAAUUUCAUGGCAUACCAUAUUAAGCACCUCUGCUUUUCCUAGGUAAGCUCAGGUAAUUUUCAGUAAGAGUGGGUAUGCUUCAUAGGACUAAGAGAACUUGAGCUGACUACUGGAAAGAAUUUUAUCUGAGAGGCCUGAUUUUGCUCUCAUGCUAGUUUGAUGCUAGUGUAAUUCCAUUGAUUUCAGUGGUGUUUCUACAGAUGUGCACUAGUGUAAUUGAAAGAAUCAGGCCUUACACAUAAGGAUUAAGAGUGAGGAUGAAUUACGUUCAGAUACUUAAAAGCCUAAUUAUGUUGUUUCAGGUUUUGUUGAUUGUUUUUCAUGCCAUGUUAGUAAUAGAAAGCUGUGUUCACUGAUGUCUUUUUUGUACUGGAGUUGGAGAAUUAAUUUCAGAAAUGCAACCAGUACUAAUACAGAAUUGUAACAGUAUAAAGUGACUGCAAAUGGACAGGACACAAAUAGAUCUAAAUAUUGUGGGUCAAGUCCUGAGGCCAUUUCUGUGGGCGCAAACGGCCCUAAAAUAGAAGAUACAAUGCACUUCCAUUAUUUGGGAGGACAAAGCAGCAGUGUACUGGCACAAGAGAUAUCUGCACCUCCUUUUAUGCCAUUGAUGUCACAUCAGUGACGAGUCUUCACACAGGAAUGCAGAAGUGAUGGGAGUCAAUACCUUACCCACAAAACCAAGGUAUGGCAUAUGGUUCCACUCCGAGGACUGAUCCAUGAGGAGAAAAUUCUAUCGAGGGGAGCAGCUUUUGGAGAGACUUAUAUCAAUAAAAUAUAUUUAGAAGGCUUUCAA
RNA transcript from Chelonia mydas (Green sea turtle), 3818 nucleotides. It is a transcript of the gene named triple QxxK/R motif containing, with no coding region annotated. Lineage: Eukaryota; Metazoa; Chordata; Testudines; Cheloniidae. The transcript has 5 exons. The record is from RefSeq and is a predicted model, not a curated record.